RNAcentral lists this ribosomal RNA (460 nucleotides) under uncultured bacterium. RNAcentral's name for it is "partial 16S ribosomal RNA". It matches the Rfam family "Bacterial small subunit ribosomal RNA", at positions 338 to 795 of the family's 1533-position model. The record is from RNAcentral.
CCUACGGGAGGCAGCAGUGAGGAAUAUUGGUCAAUGGACGAGAGUCUGAACCAGCCAAGUAGCGUGAAGGAUGACUGCUCUAUGGGUUGUAAACUUCUUUUAUAAAGGAAUAAAACGAGGCACGCGUGCCUUUCUGCAUGUAUAUUACGAAUAAGGAUCGGCUAACUCCGUGCCAGCAGCCGCGGUAAUACGGAGGAUUCGAGCGUUAUCCGGAUUUAUUGGGUUUAAAGGGAGCGUAGAUGGGGUAAUAAGUCAGUUGUGAAAGUAUGUGGCUCAACUGUAAAAUUGCAAUUGAUACUGGCAGUCUUGAGUGUAGUAGAGGUAGGCGGAAUUCGUGGUGUAGCGGUAAAAUGCGUAGAGAUCACGAGGAACACGGAUUGCGAAGGCGACUUGCUGGACUGUGACUGACGUUGAUGCACGAAAGUGUGGGUAUCAAACAGGAUUAGAUACCCCGGUAGUC